UGUCCUACGGGGCGCAGCAGUGGGGGAUAUUGCACAAUGGGGGAAACCCUGAUGCAGCGACGCCGCGUGGGUGAAGAAGCGCCUCGGCGCGUAAAGCCCUGUCAGCAGGGAAGAAAAUGACGGUACCUGAAGAAGAAGCCCCGGCUAACUACGUGCCAGCAGCCGCGGUAAUACGUAGGGGGCAAGCGUUAUCCGGAUUUACUGGGUGUAAAGGGAGCGUAGGUGGCAUGGUAAGCCAGAAGUGAAAACCCAGGGCUCAACUCUGCGGAUUGCUUUUGGAAUUAUCAAGCUAGAGUGCUGGUGGG
Molecule: ribosomal RNA, 305 nt
Filed under: uncultured bacterium
Lineage: Bacteria
Description: bacterial SSU rRNA
Rfam family: Bacterial small subunit ribosomal RNA
Source: RNAcentral